This is a long non-coding RNA of Erigeron canadensis, 981 nucleotides long. RefSeq lists it as uncharacterized. Lineage: Eukaryota; Viridiplantae; Streptophyta; Magnoliopsida; Asterales; Asteraceae. The record is from RefSeq and is a predicted model, not a curated record. The transcript has 5 exons.
UUUUUUUAGGCUAAUAGUGUAGAUAAUAUGAGAUAUGAUAUUAUUUGGUAGGUUGUUUUUAUCCUCUUGAUUUUGUUAAUGUUUAAUAUCAUUAUUAUCAUUCAACUUCUUUUUUUCAUUUUACCUGUUUUGAUGUCGCCUUGAUUUUUGUUUUGUUUUUUGUGUGUUUAUUAUCGUAUUUGACUUCCAAAUUUGAGAACUGUGGGAGAUUUUGUUCAAGAACAGAGCAUUAUGGAUAAAGAACGGUUCAUUUAUUUUAUCCUUUUUUUUAAAAAAAAUUAUAUUAUUUUUAUAAUCAGCAUCAUUAAUUUCGUAUUGAUUUUUUUGUUUGUUUUUUAGGUGUGUUUUCAACUGCAAGAAAUCAGAAUACUUUAAGCAAGUUGUACGUUAAUUUGUGCAAGAUUUUCUGGUUUUAGUCAUGAUGAAGAUGAGUGGGUGAAUGUAAGAAAGGGGAUUCGUGAGCGGUCAAUCCCCUUGGAGGCUUCAAAAUGUCAUAAGAUCAAAUAAGAAAUUUGAGAAUGGUUUUGUGGCCACAUUUAGCCAAUGCUGAUCUUGAGCUGGAAUUGGAGAAAGAGGAACUUCCCCCUUGUAUGACUUCUGUUUCCGAAGAUGAGAUAUUGAGGGUAAUGACUGCAUUACCCUAUUAUUGUUAAGUUGGUACUUGGUAGUCUAUUGUAGAGAGACAUGUUGCAGGCCUUCAUGAAGGUCUCUAGUAGAGGGCUGGAAUUGUAUCUCAUAUGAAUAACAGAGAUGGACUUUGAAAUCUCGCACAUGUACCCGACAUUGCUGUUGCAGAUUUCGAGCGAUCUCAACUCACAUUGUGUUAAACGAAAGAAGCACAUUAUGUUAUAAGGAGUAGUAUAAUAACUCUUGUAUUAAUUAAAAUGUCAAUGACACAUCAAGUUUCUGUUUUUUCAUUUUGAAUAUUGUAACUCUCUGUAUUAUUAUUAAUAGACCAAAGUAUUGCAUUGUUUAUUAAAA